This 26-nucleotide non-coding RNA is filed under the name Mus musculus (house mouse). Lineage: Eukaryota; Metazoa; Chordata; Mammalia; Rodentia; Muridae. The record is from RNAcentral.
UGUUUGGCUGCCCAGGAGAUGUUGAC